GAUGAACGCUGGCGGCGUGCCUAAUACAUGCAAGUCGAGCGAACAGAUGAGGAGCUUGCUCCUCUGACGUUAGCGGCGGACGGGUGAGUAACACGUGGAUAACCUACCUAUAAGACUGGGAUAACUUCGGAAAACCGGAGCUAAUACCGUAUAAUAUAUUGAACCGCAUGGUUCAAUAGUGAAAGACGGUUUUGCUGUCACUUCUAGAUGGAUCCGCGCCGCAUUAGCUAGUUGGUAAGGUAACGGCUUACCAAGGCAACGAUGCGUAGCCGAACGGAGAGGGUGAUCGGCCACACUGGAACUGAGACACGGUCCAGACUCCUACGGGAGGCAGCAGUAGGGAAUCUUCCGCAAUGGGCGAAAGCCUGACGGAGCAACGCCGCGUGAGUGAUGAAGGUCUUCGGAUCGUAAAACUCUGUUAUUAGGGAAGAACAAAUGUGUAAGUAACUAUGCACGUCUUGACGGUACCUAAUCAGAAAGCCACGGCUAACUACGUG
Molecule: ribosomal RNA, 497 nt
Filed under: uncultured bacterium
Lineage: Bacteria
Description: partial 16S ribosomal RNA
Rfam family: Bacterial small subunit ribosomal RNA
Source: RNAcentral